RNAcentral lists this transfer-messenger RNA (404 nucleotides) under Rikenellaceae. RNAcentral's name for it is "Alistipes sp017623115 Standard tmRNA". It matches the Rfam family "transfer-messenger RNA". From Rfam's summary of the family: Bacterial tmRNA, also known as 10Sa RNA or SsrA, is named for its dual tRNA and mRNA-like properties. Its role is to liberate the mRNA from a stalled ribosome. The record is from RNAcentral. Lineage: Bacteria; Pseudomonadati; Bacteroidota; Bacteroidia; Bacteroidales. RNAcentral also lists the same sequence under 1 other name.
GGGGGUGCCCGGUUUUGACAGCAGGCAGAGUUUGAUUGUAAGCACGUCGAGCGCUGUGUGGCGGCUCGUAAAUCCCGAUGCACAAACAUUAAUUGGCAAUAAUAGCUACGCACUCGCUGCCUAAUUUUCCAGGAAAAUUGGCUUAAUCCCUGACGCCAAGGCUGCGUCGGCGACGAGUAUCCCGAAGGGUUGUUCCGCUCCUUAACCGCCUUUCAUAUGGGGUAUCAUUCAUUUGGAGACCGCUCGACGGAGGGCUUCGGUCGUCGGGCUAAAUUGAGAAGCUGGGCUUCGUGUUAGGCUGUUGCCUGCCGGAUACGGAGAGAAGGACGAAACGGCAACUAAACGUGUAGAAAGCUUUCGGGUUCCCUGUUUGGACGCGGGUUCGACUCCCGCCACCUCCACAC